GCGUGUGUGAAGAAGGCCUGCGGGUUGUAAAGCACUUUCAGUUGUGAAGAUUGAUUUGAUGAUUAAUACCCAUCAGAUUUGACAUUAGCAACAUAAGAAGCACCGGCUAACUCCGUGCCAGCAGCCGCGGUAAUACGGAGGGUGCAAGCGUUAAUCGGAAUUACUGGGCGUAAAGCGCGCGUAGGCAGCUAAGCCAGUCAUAUGUGAAAUCCCCGGGCUUAACCUGGGAAUUGCAUCUGAUACUGCUUGGCUAGAGUAUGUUAGAGGAAAGCGGAAUUCCGGGUGUAGCGGUGAAAUGCGU
Molecule: ribosomal RNA, 301 nt
Filed under: uncultured bacterium
Lineage: Bacteria
Description: bacterial SSU rRNA
Rfam family: Bacterial small subunit ribosomal RNA
Source: RNAcentral